UCCAGUGCUCUUUUUGUCAUUGGAAGGCAAUAUAGUCACAGCUUCCGGGAAUUUAGAUACUGACUUCUUUGGCGGGACCAUUAUUCCGUCUACCACACAAUGUAAUCGUUUCAAAACACACACAUCCAACCAUGUUACUCCUCUGCCUAAGGCCCUGGUGUGGUGCUCUCCUCAGAGGAUAAGGACCUCCUGUGGCUGGAAGUGCCAUGCAGGGCCACACCCCUCCUCCCCUCCUUCCUCUUCCCAUCUCCCCACUCUGCCUCUGGCCUGCGGGCUGUGAUCCAGCCUUUGCACAUGGUCUGCUUUCUACGAAGGAUGCUUCUCCUUCUCCCACUCCAUCCCAGGUUCCUGAGCUCCCUAAGAUGCUCUCACUGGGACCCGUGCCGUUCUGCUAUCGUAGCUACUACAGGCUAACAUCCUCGCUUUUACUUAGGUGAUCGUAUGCCUCUCCCAUGUGAGUAAGUAACCCUUACAGUCAGGGGUCAUGUCUAUCUUCGUUCCAUCAGUGCAUCUCAGUACGGAGUCUGCUUGUGGCGAAUGGUUAGUAAGCACUUGGAAAUGAAUGAAUAAGCGAAUGAAUAUUAGCAUCAUGGUCAUCACCCUCUAUCCCCUUUACCCUGCUUUUUUCUUCUGUACAACAUUUAUCAUCUCCUCUAUUGUGGCUUCCCUCCACCAGAAUGGAAGCUCUGUGAGAGCAGGGACUUGUCUUUUGCGUUCAUGCCGUUGUUCCCAGGUCCUAGAGCAGCGUCUGCUCUAUAACGGGCUUUUGAUAAAUAUUCAGGGGAUGGAUGAUCUGGGGAUGUUCAGAAUCUGUCCCAGAGUUUUCUUAUUUGACCCUUCUUUGAAAUCAGAUGGCGGUAGGCCCUGGACUUCCCUGCACUGCAGGCAGUGAUGAGGCUGGGCAGCAGAGAAAGGAGAAAAUGGACUCCCUCCUCCUGUAGACAAGAAUGCCAGCUACCAGCCAUGGGUGAGCUUCCAGCUUGACCAGANNNNNNNNNNNNNNNNNNNNNNNNNNNNNNNNNNNNNNNNNNNNNNNNNNNNNNNNNNNNNNNNNNNNNNNNNNNNNNNNNNNNNNNNNNNNNNNNNNNCAGCUUGACCAGAAUUUUUCUCUUAUUUGUUCCACGUUAUUUGUUGUUGUUGUUGUUAUACAGGAUUGGUGUAGACCAUACUUGUUUGAUUUUGAGGUCGUUUGUUGAUUUUCAUAGUUUGUUUAUAAAAACAGAAAAGCAAUAGAAGUGAAACCGGAAAUAUUACUGGAAUGUUUCUGAGGGAAUGGAGGGCCAGGUGGUCAUCCUCUGCACUGGGAGUGUGGUAUCCCUUCACUUAUGCUCCUUGGGCCUGUCCCUUUUGCCAUCCUAGGAGAUGGUACCCACCCAGGCAGUCCCUUUAAUUCAAGUGUGUGGUAAGUCGGAAAUACGAGGUGUUCUUUGCAUGGACUUUGUGGUCCUUCUUGCCGUUGCUCACUGGGAAGACUGUUCCUGUGCUGCUGGAGAGACACCCAUGGCCAGCAAGGCCCAGGGUUUCUUUCUACUCACCCUGACCGAGUUGCCCCCACAGAGGGCUUCUUCUCCUGAUCUCCCCCGAUCCCGCAUUGGGUAAUUUCACAGCUCUAGUUUAUCUGUCCUAAAACCACCAUUAGCGUUGUAAUCUGAGCAGUUUGAGUAGAGAUUGUUUCUGUUCUGUUUUAACCCCAUUUGUGAGAUUUGUGCUCAGCAGGCAGUAAUUCCAAGUUUUCUAUCUGGUAAUAAGAAUACUUUUUGUCCUUAAUGCUAAGGACAACUACACCACUUCUUGGCAUUCUGAUGGGGUCUAGCAAAGGCCUUCCUUGAUUUUCAGCGUCUGCUAGGUAUGGUGGUGUCCUUCCCUUAGCUACGACCCCUUUAGGGCCCUGCCCAGCAAGAAUUCUGGGAGAUCUUCCCUCUCAGUGUCACACGUCUUUGCGAGGAACUUGAUGUUCCCUCGACCUUCACCCCAAUCUGCGCCAGCUUUGCCUCAAGCCUCUAUGUGUUAGGCACUAUGCCCCACGGUUUACAUCUUUUUCAGUCUCCUUGCAAACUUGGUCAAAUAAGUGAUACAAUUCAUUUGUUUCAAAUAUGGAAGCCAAGACUCAGAGAUUAGAUUACUUUCAGAGCUAAAAUGUAGCAAGGCAGAGUGGCAGCCCAAGGUCUUUGAAGCUCUUGCCUGUUAUCAGAAACUUAGGCUGCGCCUUCCCUGAUAGCUCAGUGAUAAAGAAUUCGCCUGCCAAUGAAGCAGAUGUGGGUUCUAUCCCUGAUCUGGGACGAGCCCAUAUGCAGCAGAGCAACUCAGCCCAUGCACCACACUCCUGAGCCUGUGCGCCGCAGCUGCUGAAGCCCUGGAGAGUAGCCCCUGCUCGCUGCAACUAGAGAAGAGCCCACACAGCACCGAAGACCCAGGACAGACCCCCCAAAAUAAAUAAAAUUAUUCUUUUCUAAAGUUAGACUGGCCGCCUACAGGUAGAAGAUGAAUUAUAUUUGCAUACACGUGUCUGUAAUACACUUCUGUUUCCAUAUUUUAUUUGACCUGAACUGUUGGCACACACUGGUAAAAUCUGCCUUUAUUACUGUUGGCCUUACGUGCAUUAUUAUGUGUGCCAGUUGAUGCAGGGUAGUUCAGUAGUUUAUCUGAAGAACCUUAACCUCCAUAAAUUGGAAAGUGUGAUUUCAGGAAUCUGAAGUCUUCCUCUGCACCUGCGAGGUUUUGUGACCUGUUUGAGGAGGAACAAACUGACAAACUCCAAGCGUAAAUCUGUCUCAGCCUAGUUCUAGUAAAACUGACACAACCUCAGUCUGAAUUGUUGUCAAGAUCAGCUGUUUUAUAAACCAGAGUCACUAAUAAGUACCUGCUGAUAUCUGAAUGUUUUAAAAUAUUACAGUUAAAACUGUGGUCAGUGAAAGAAAAGCUGUCCUUUUUCCCAUGGGACUGCUUUAGGGCACUUAUUCUCAGGCCACUCAGGACACCCUUGAGGGCACAUGAAUUCUGGAUGUUUCAAACUGAUAGACUUGUACAGGAGUCUCAGAAAUCAUGGGCACUAGCUUGAGGUUGUGGAGUACUUUUUCUGUGUCCUCUUUUUAAAAAAAAUUUUACUGAAGUAUAGUUGAUUAAAAAUGUUGUGUUAGUUUCUUCUGUACAGCAAAAUGGGUUAUACAUAGAUAUAUCCAGUUAUACAUAUCUAUAUUAUUUUUCAUCUUCUUUUCCAUUUAUGGUUUAUCAUGGGAUAUUGAAUAUAGUUUCCUGUGCUAUAUGGUAGGCCCUUGUUAUUUGUGUAUUCUGUGUAUAUUAAUAAUCGUUUGCAUCUGCUAAUCCCAAUUCCCAGUCCUUCCCUUACCAGUGCCCUGCCCCCUUGGCAGCCACAGUCUGUUCCCUAUAUCUGUGAGUCUUUCUGCUCCAUAGAUAUGUUCAUUUGUGUUGUAUUUUAGAAUCCGCAUNNNNNNNNNNNNNNNNNNNNNNNNNNNNNNNNNNNNNNNNNNNNNNNNNNNNNNNNNNNNNNNNNNNNNNNNNNNNNNNNNNNNNNNNNNNNNNNNNNNAUGUUCAUUUGUGUUGUAUUUUAGAAUCCGCAUGUAAAUGAUACUGUAUAUUAUUUGUCCUUCUCUUUCUGACUUAUUUCACUUAGUAUGAUAAUCUCUACGUUUAUCCACGUUGUUGCAAACAGCAUUAUUUUAUUCUUUAUGACUAAUACUCCAUUGUAUAUACAUGGUACAUCUUCUUUGUCCAUCCUAAUGUCAGUGGACAGUUAGGUCGUUUUCACGUCUUGGCUAUUGUGAAUAGUGCUGCUAUGAACAUAGGGGUGCGUGUAUUGUUUUGAAUUACACUUUCGUCUGGAUAUAUGCCAAGGAAAGGAAUUGCUGGAUCAUGUGACAAUUCUAUUUUUAGUUUUUAGAGAAACCCGCAUACUAUUUUCCAUAGUGUUUGCACUAAUUUACAUUCCCACCAACAGAUCGGAGGGUUCCCUUUUCUCUACACCCUCUCCAGCAUUUGUUAUUUGUAGAUAUUUUUAAUGAUGGCCAUUCUGACCAGUGUACCUCAUUGUAGUUUUGAUUUAUAUUUGUCU
This 4069-nucleotide long non-coding RNA is filed under the name Capra hircus (goat). Its description in RNAcentral is "lncRNA (ENSCHIG00010031139.1)". Lineage: Eukaryota; Metazoa; Chordata; Mammalia; Artiodactyla; Bovidae. The record is from RNAcentral.